This 328-nucleotide long non-coding RNA is filed under the name Mustela putorius furo (domestic ferret). RNAcentral describes it as "lncRNA (ENSMPUG00000030519.1)". Lineage: Eukaryota; Metazoa; Chordata; Mammalia; Carnivora; Mustelidae. The record is from RNAcentral.
ACUGUAUCUGUCUCUCUAGUCUUGACACUUUAUCUUUUUAUAGUUACUUAUUUUUUAGGGCUUCUGGAUUUCUGACUUGGUUACGAAGAAUUCUCCUUCCCAAGAUUGUACCCUGCUUGCUCAGCACUUCAACGAUGUCAGGGCCAAUAUUUCUACUGUUCACUUGGCAAUGCCUCAUGGUCAUGGUAUUGUGGCCACAGCUUCAGCCAUCACUUCUACCAUCGCUUCUUCAUUCAAAGCUGAGAGAAGGGAAACAGGUUUUCUAAGUGAGUACAUUUAGUAAAUUGAGGUGAUUUGGGAAACAUUUAAAGGAAAGCAAAAGCUUUCC